AUGAAAAUGUAAACAACAAAGAUCGGGCCCCGGUUCCGGACCCAGCGUACCCGCCCUACCAUGAGACGAUCACCUCCACUCGUCUCCCUCAUUUUGGCCACUAAAUGGCCUAUAUUAGCCCGUGUCGGCCAUAAUGCCUACUCUCCCCAACAAUAUUAUUUUAGCCGGACAUGAUUUCUUUCAAUAGCUGUUUAGGAUCUCAUGCAAGCGGAUAAUUCAUUAACUUCACAGGCGACGAAAUACUACAAGGAUAUUGCUAGUCGCCGCAAAAGAAACGCGCACGGAGGCACUUUAGAGGCAAUCGUUGCGCCGAUUUAGGAACAAUGGCCCACACAAUUACUUAAAACUGGAGCUCUCUGGGGGUGGUAAGGGGCGAUAUAAAUGCGUAAAUUCAAAUUGGGCGCAGAUGCAUCACCUUUGGAGUUCCCCUCACCGUUCGCACUCUAGAGUGAAGCUCGGCGUAAGUGCCUACGGAGUGCAAUUAGGAGUCUUCUUCUGACUCUGCCAGGGGCUCGAACGAGGAUGGGCAAAAACAUGGAACGGACUCACUCGGUGGAUGUGGGCGGGGUCUCGCCUGUGGC
Long non-coding RNA from Drosophila novamexicana, 581 nucleotides. RefSeq lists it as uncharacterized. Lineage: Eukaryota; Metazoa; Arthropoda; Insecta; Diptera; Drosophilidae. The record is from RefSeq and is a predicted model, not a curated record. The transcript has 7 exons.